This 228-nucleotide unclassified non-coding RNA is filed under the name Hevea brasiliensis (rubber tree). The record is from RNAcentral. Lineage: Eukaryota; Viridiplantae; Streptophyta; Magnoliopsida; Malpighiales; Euphorbiaceae.
GUCUGCUAAAAAAAAAAAUUUGCCUAGCCAUCCCUCAACAAACAAAAGCAAGCUUUUAUAUGCUCGGUAGUGCAGAACAGCAACUCUUUGAUAGCAAGAAACUUAUAUGCAAUUGGUGAAAAUUCACCCCAUCCUGGCCUCUGAUAUAAGAAGCUCCAUUUUUUCAGUAAGAUGAUUCAUACGUUGAAUAUUGUCCAGGCCAUUCUCCUGCCAUGAUUGCAAUUCCUG